CUGAGCUAACGUCCAUGCCAAUCUUCCUUCAUUCUUUUAGUAAGUGGGCCACCAGCAGAGCAUGGCAGCAAACCGAGUGGUGUAGAUCUGCGCCUAGAAACCAAACCCAGGCCGCCGAAGUGGAGUGCGCUGAACUUAACUACUAGGCCACGAGGGCUGUCCCUGUGGCAGUUUGAACAAAUGUCUGACCUCCAGAAUGUAGAGCUUUACUCCCCUUCCCUUGAGUGUGGGCUAGAUUUAAUGACUGUCUUCUAAGGAACAGACUAUGCAAAGAGAAAACCAGUCACUUAAGAGAACAAAAGCCUGGCAGACGCCAACCUAAUCAAGUGAUGGAUGUUGACAUCACAGUAAUCUGUUGUGCUGAUAGCGUUUACUCUGCUGAUAUGAUGCCAGGAGAUGGGCACACCACUUCUGAGGCAUUCUCAUCCCAAAUCUACAACCUCAGUUUAAUGUCUAGGAGGAAACCUUAAACAAACCCAAGUGGAGGGAUAUUCUACAAAAUAUCUGAAUGCACUGUUCAAGGGUGUCAAGGUCAUGGAAGACACAGAAAGACAGAGGAAUGUCAUGGGUUGGAGCAUUCUAAAGAGACACAAUGACUAAUGCAAAGUGGUGUCCUGGAUGGGAUCCUGGAACAGAAAAGGCAUAUUAGUGGAAAAACGAGGGGAAUCUGAAAAAGUCUACGGUUUAGUGAAGAUUACUGUUUUGAUGUUAAUUUCUUCGUUUUGAGAUGUGAAUAUGAUCAAAAUAUUCGGAGGCUGCUGGAACAGACUGCUGCCAUGAUUGUGUGCAGGCUGCCCCAGUCUGUGGGCUGCUCUCCUAUAAUACAACUCUGAGUAUAGAGAAAAU
RNAcentral lists this long non-coding RNA (846 nucleotides) under Equus asinus (donkey). RNAcentral's name for it is "lncRNA (ENSEASG00005035747.1)". Lineage: Eukaryota; Metazoa; Chordata; Mammalia; Perissodactyla; Equidae. The record is from RNAcentral.